This 332-nucleotide long non-coding RNA is filed under the name Glycine max (soybean). RNAcentral's name for it is "long non-coding RNA (GMAX_LNC001509)". The record is from RNAcentral. Lineage: Eukaryota; Viridiplantae; Streptophyta; Magnoliopsida; Fabales; Fabaceae.
AUUCAACACAUCUAUCCUUUGCAUUGUGUAUGGACUGAGGCUCAAGGAAUCCAUACACCGAACCAUGACCCGAACUUGAGCUCCACUCAUCCAUAAACCUAUUUUUGACAUUUGAAAUGAAAAUUGAUGAUGAUGUAUAUCAUAAGGAAUAUUAAUUAUUAGUCAAUGGUAUGAAAUUUACUUACAUCAUCCAUAAUUGUAGUAUAGCUAUGUUCAAACAUUUUUCACCUGAUAUUAUUUCAUUUACAUCAGAAUAUGUUAAGAAGAAGGAAGCAUCUACAUUUAGAAUCUCAAAUUUAGUCCCAUCCCACAACAACUCAACAGGCUUCUAG